Molecule: long non-coding RNA, 520 nt
Organism: Ochotona curzoniae (black-lipped pika)
Lineage: Eukaryota; Metazoa; Chordata; Mammalia; Lagomorpha; Ochotonidae
Exons: 3
Source: RefSeq, a predicted model, not a curated record
UCUUGCACAGGAGCUGACUGUAGCUGGGAGAAGACAUUUUACUCAUUUGCUCUCUCCUUUCAGUCAGCUGGCCCCUCUUCUCAGGUGUAGAUCACCUAGUGUAAUUCCACUAAUUCUCAUCCUCUGAGGAGGAACGUCCCAGAGCUUAGCGGCUGGAAUAGGCCUCACUGCCGAGACAGUGCUCAUCAGGGUCUGCAAGAAAGCCUGACAGGUUUCUCCGGAAAUGUGACCAUCCAUGGAAUGAAUGAAAUGUUCUCUUUCUAUCCCAACUACCAAUGGCAUUUUUCCUUAGCCUCAAGAGACCAUCGUAAAACAAUGGCUCACAGUGCUUUCAGAACAGGAACUGAAGUUGUGUACUGUGCAUGUAUAGUCCUACGCAAGAGGAAGGCAAUGUUUAAAGCUGCUGUCGCCUCCUGGAAAAAAAAAAAAGAAAAAAGCUGGGAUUCUGAGUCAAGUAUGUAUGUAUUUUAUGUUUUUCUAUCUUGUGGGUCUUUAUUGCUAAAACUGUUUUUAUGAAAUU